UACGGGGGGAGCAAGCGUUGUUCGGAUUUACUGGGCGUAAAGGGCGCGUAGGCGGUAGCACAAGUCAGUUGUGAAAUCUCCGGGCUUAACCCGGAAAGGUCAACUGAUACUGUGCGACUAGAGUGCAGAAGGGGCAACUGGAAUUCUCGGUGUAGCGGUGAAAUGCGUAGAUAUCGAGAGGAACACCUGCGGCGAAGGCGGGUUGCUGGGCUGACACUGACGCUGAGGAGCGAAAGCGUGGGGAGCGAACAGG
RNAcentral lists this ribosomal RNA (253 nucleotides) under uncultured bacterium. RNAcentral's name for it is "partial 16S ribosomal RNA". It matches the Rfam family "Bacterial small subunit ribosomal RNA", at positions 524 to 776 of the family's 1533-position model. The record is from RNAcentral.